UCAGUGAGGCGUUCGGACUGGCCCAGGGAGGUCGGCAACGACCACCCAGGGCCGGAAAGUUCGUCAAACUUGGUCAUUUAGAGGAAGUAAAAGUCGUAACAAGGUCUCCGUAGGUGAACCUGCGGAGGGAUCAUU
This 135-nucleotide ribosomal RNA is filed under the name Teratosphaeria encephalarti. RNAcentral's name for it is "partial 18S ribosomal RNA". It matches the Rfam family "Eukaryotic small subunit ribosomal RNA", at positions 1698 to 1830 of the family's 1831-position model. Lineage: Eukaryota; Fungi; Ascomycota; Dothideomycetes; Mycosphaerellales; Teratosphaeriaceae. The record is from RNAcentral.